GGGGUUAUAGCUCAGUGGUAGAGCACUUGCCUAGCAUGUAUGAGGCACUGAGUUUGAUUCUCAGCACUGCA
Molecule: transfer RNA, 71 nt
Filed under: Marmota monax (woodchuck)
Lineage: Eukaryota; Metazoa; Chordata; Mammalia; Rodentia; Sciuridae
Description: tRNA.Ala
Rfam family: tRNA (bases 8-64)
About the family: Transfer RNA (tRNA) molecules are approximately 80 nucleotides in length. Their secondary structure includes four short double-helical elements and three loops (D, anti-codon, and T loops).
Source: RNAcentral